This 305-nucleotide ribosomal RNA is filed under the name uncultured bacterium. RNAcentral's name for it is "bacterial SSU rRNA". It matches the Rfam family "Bacterial small subunit ribosomal RNA", at positions 337 to 639 of the family's 1533-position model. The record is from RNAcentral.
ACCUACGGGGGGCAGCAGUGAGGAAUAUUGGUCAAUGGGAGAGAUCCUGAACCAGCCAAGCCGCGUGAGGGAAGACGGCCCUAUGGGUUGUAAACCUCUUUUGUCGGAGAACAAAACCCGGGACGUGUCCCGGACUGCGUGUAUCCGAAGAAAAAGCAUCGGCUAACUCCGUGCCAGCAGCCGCGGUAAUACGGAGGAUGCGAGCGUUAUCCGGAUUUAUUGGGUUUAAAGGGUGCGUAGGCGGUCCGUUAAGUCAGCGGUAAAAUUGCGGGGCCCAACCCCGGGGCUGCAUUGGGAACUGCCAG